This 483-nucleotide ribosomal RNA is filed under the name uncultured bacterium. RNAcentral's name for it is "partial 16S ribosomal RNA". It matches the Rfam family "Bacterial small subunit ribosomal RNA", at positions 30 to 507 of the family's 1533-position model. The record is from RNAcentral.
UUGAACGCUGGCGGCAGGCCUAACACAUGCAAGUCGCGCGGAUGAAGGGAGCUUGCUCCUGGAUUCAGCGGCGGACGGGUGAGUAAUGCCUAGGAAUCUGCCUGGUAGUGGGGGAUAACGUCCGGAAACGGGCGCUAAUACCGCAUACGUCCUGAUGGAGAAAGUGGGGGAUCUUCGGACCUCACGCUAUCAGAUGAGCCUAGGUCGGAUUAGCUAGUUGGUGGGGUAAAGGCCUACCAAGGCGACGAUCCGUAACUGGUCUGAGAGGAUGAUCAGUCACACUGGAACUGAGACACGGUCCAGACUCCUACGGGAGGCAGCAGUGGGGAAUAUUGGACAAUGGGCGAAAGCCUGAUCCAGCCAUGCCGCGUGUGUGAAGAAGGUCUUCGGAUUGUAAAGCACUUUAAGUUGGGAGGAAGGGCAGUAAGUUAAUACCUUGCUGUUUUGACGUUACCAUCAGAAUAAGCACCGGCUAACUUCGUG